This 371-nucleotide unclassified non-coding RNA is filed under the name soil metagenome. Its description in RNAcentral is "partial contains 5.8S ribosomal RNA, internal transcribed spacer 2, and large subunit ribosomal RNA". The stretch from base 1 to 120 matches the Rfam family "5.8S ribosomal RNA", at positions 35 to 154 of the family's 154-position model. The record is from RNAcentral.
GAUGAAGAACGCAGCGAAAUGCGAUAAGUAAUGCGAAUUGCAGAAUUCAGUGAGUCAUCGAAUCUUUGAACGCACAUUGCGCCCCCUGGAAUUCCGGGGGGCAUGCCUGUUCGAGCGUCUCAGGGACGAACCCUCGCGCGGGUGUACGCGCGGUCGUGGCUGCGGUGGCGUGCCCGAGGCGGCGGCCACCGCGCUGGAAUCCAUGGGCGGACGCCUGCCGCGUGGCCGAGCGUGAUAUGACGCAUUGGCGCUCGCACGCGGAGAGGCUGCCAGCCCUGGCCCGUCUGUCGGGCGGGGGAGAGCAAGACACGUGAACUCCUCGAAUCAGGUAGGGAUACCCGCUGAACUUAAGCAUAUCAAUAAGCGGAGGA